CGGCUGAAGGGCGCCCCGCGGCAGAAGACCUUCUACUACUGGAUGGCGCUGAAGCAACCGGCGUGGGUAGGGCCAGAGGGUUAGUUAGUCAUUAACUGGAGCGGUCGCCUUUGAAAGGAUUAAUGGUCGUCUUUUGCGGGCAGAGGAUUAGGGGUUGGGGUGAUAAAAGAGGGAAGGUUUGGGAUCUCGAGGCUGCCCCGUGACUAGGCCGUCGGGAUCUCUUCUAAUACGGAGUCCUCCCGAGGCUAGACUACCGAGGAAGUGGCAGCAGAAGCGGCCGCCUACCCCGUACGGAGUACGCUGACACACCACCCACCAACACCAACAGGCUCUACUCCUCCGCUGCCGUCUCCAGCUCCUCUUCCUCUCCAUGCAGGCACGAUCCAUCGCAUACUUACAACUAGCGGCCUUACGGGUGCGGCUGCCUGCGGUGGCGUGAGUGGCCGUCCCAGUUGGGGAGGCAAAUGAGGUAGCGACGGUACGAGACACAGAAAAGCACGGGCUGAUACGUCCAGCGGUGGUGGUGUUAGUGGCAGGGUCAUCUACCUGCUUCUGACUGUCUAGACCCCGCUACCUACCUCUUCGACCUGCAGGUACCACUGUUGUUGUGGCCAAGGGUACGUCCUCACUUUUCGUCCACUAUUCCCGGCCGCCAACGACUCUCACCACCCUUAGUGUUGUUGCGGCAGCUCCAACUCCUUGAUCCUCUCGUUCUGUGCCGAUCCGUUAGCUACACUCCAGUUCCCUGUGAAUGUCAAACGUGGUUCGGUACUCCCUCAAGGUGUCGCGAGGACCGUAGGUUAAACCGAACGAGAAUACAUACUUAAGAAUCAUAAAAAUGGAGAAAUUGAUUGUCUUGGCGCGAUACAAACAACCCUUACAUGUAACACCCGUGUGGUUAAG
This 903-nucleotide ribosomal RNA is filed under the name Triticum aestivum (bread wheat). RNAcentral's name for it is "partial small subunit ribosomal RNA". Lineage: Eukaryota; Viridiplantae; Streptophyta; Magnoliopsida; Poales; Poaceae. The record is from RNAcentral.